AAAGUUUUAGUAUAAAAUUUAUGAGUAUGGUUUAUUGUCAAUAAACGGGUUAAAACUUUG
Molecule: transfer RNA, 60 nt
Filed under: Hypodontus macropi
Lineage: Eukaryota; Metazoa; Nematoda; Chromadorea; Rhabditida; Strongylidae
Description: tRNA-Asp
Source: RNAcentral